This 394-nucleotide unclassified non-coding RNA is filed under the name soil metagenome. Its description in RNAcentral is "partial contains 5.8S ribosomal RNA, internal transcribed spacer 2, and large subunit ribosomal RNA". The stretch from base 1 to 122 matches the Rfam family "5.8S ribosomal RNA", at positions 35 to 154 of the family's 154-position model. The record is from RNAcentral.
GAUGAAGAACGCAGCGAAAUGCGAUACUUGGUGUGAAUUGCAGAAUCCCGUGAACCAUCGAGUCUUUGAACGCAAGUUGCGCCCGAAGCCAUCAGGUUGAGGGCACGUCUGCCUGGGCGUCACAUAUCGUUGCCCAAUGCCUAUUGCAGUGCAAUAGGAAUUUCUAGGGCGAAUGAUGGCUUCCCGUGAGCGUUGUUGCCUCGCGGUUGGUUGAAAAUCGAGUCCUUGGUAGGGUGUGCCAUGGUAGAUGGUGGUCGAGUUAGAACGAUACCGAUCAUGUGCAUGCUCCCCAAAAUAUGGCCUCUAUGACCCACACGCGUCUUUGACGCUCAUGACGAGACCUCAGGUCAGGCGGGGCUACCCGCUGAAUUUAAGCAUAUCAAUAAGCGGAGGA